GGAGGGAUGCCGGAGUGGUUGAACGGGGCGGUCUCGAAAACCGUUGUGCGCGCGAGCGUACCCAGGGUUCGAAUCCCUGUCCCUCCGCCA
This 90-nucleotide transfer RNA is filed under the name Rhodospirillales bacterium. Its description in RNAcentral is "tRNA-Ser". It matches the Rfam family "tRNA". From Rfam's summary of the family: Transfer RNA (tRNA) molecules are approximately 80 nucleotides in length. RNAcentral also lists the same sequence under 1 other name. Lineage: Bacteria; Pseudomonadati; Pseudomonadota; Alphaproteobacteria; Rhodospirillales. The record is from RNAcentral.